Oncorhynchus tshawytscha (Chinook salmon) is the source of this 4898-nucleotide long non-coding RNA. Lineage: Eukaryota; Metazoa; Chordata; Actinopteri; Salmoniformes; Salmonidae. The record is from Ensembl.
CUGCCUGCCCUACCCCUCCCGAGUCCUUCCAGCUGCUGCUCUGUGAUCACUCACCCCAUGACUCCGCUGCCUGCCCUACCCCUCCCCGAGUCCUUCCAGCUGCUGCUCUGUGAUCACUCACCCCAUGACUCCGCUGCCUGCCCUACCCCUCCCCGAGUCCUUCCAGCUGCUGCUCUGUGAUCACUCUCCCCAUGACUCCGCUGCCUUCCAGUCCUUCCAGCUGCUGCUCUGUGAUCACUCACCCCAUGACUCCGCUGCCUGCCCUACCCCUCCCCGAGUCCUUCCAGCUGCUGCUCUGUGAUCACUCUCCCCAUGACUCCGCUGCCUGCCCUACCCCUCCCCGAGUCCUUCCAGCUGCUGCUCUGUGAUCACUCACCCCAUAACUCCGCUGCCUGCCCUACCCCUCCCCGAGUCCUUCCAGCUGCUGCUCUGUGAUCACUCACCCCAUGACUCCGCUGCCACUUGUUCAAGCAAAUGUAGUUCUUUGUCUUUUGUAACAGAAGGUAAACAUAAGCACGACGUAACAGGCAGUCUAGAGUUUUCAUGUUCUUUUGUCAGGAGUGGAGUUAGCCUACUAGAUGUACACAACAUAUCAACAAGCUAGACACGAACACACAGUCCAUAGCGAUGUAAUGUGCAAACAGAGUUCUCAGGGUGUGUACAGAUUUUGGGCUGGGUAAAACCCCUCGUCUCAUCCUUUUUGGUAAAGCGUAUAUAGUAAAAAGAGAACACGUGCAGAAUGUGAUUUGGAUCCUUAGCUUUGUGAAAGAAGUUCCCGGAGGGGCGGGGCAGGGGCGAAAACUCAGUAUUCGUAACCUCAGACAUAAUUUAAUGGAGGGUCAGAAAUGCACGUAUAAUAAUUGCCAUGAUGUUGGCUUCAGGGACUUGGAGAGAGAAAACAGCUGGACAAACAUUCCUUCUGGAAAAUAGUUAGUAAUAACAUCGUAUUAAAUAGUUGAUACACUACAUGUGACAGGACACUUGCAAUCUGAAAUGACAUUCUAGUGGAGUUGACCGUGUGGUUACUGGACAGUAUACUGUGGUCCUAUCUCUGCAGUGCAGACUGACCAGGCUGGGCACAUCCAAUCAACACCUCUGAUCUCCAGCACAAUGUGUACAGAGUUGGUUAAUCUGAUGUACUGGCCAUAGUUGUUUGCAGAAGCAGACGCUGAUUGCAGAAGCAGACGCUGUGUCCUCUCAUUACAAGCCAAACGAUGAGGCACAGUGUGUACAGUAGGAAGACUCUUCUCUCACUGUUCACCAGAUAGUGUGUGUUCAGUGUGUAAUGGUCUGUACAUAAUACCAAGUACUAUUUCACUCUGACUUCCAGGUACAGGUCUCUAGGGGAAUAAUACGACUUGUUGUAGUCCUUGUCAGAUCUACUUUAUAUAUAUGAAGCCUCAAUGGCUUGACUGUCUCUAAACACACACGUUAACAUGUUUUACCUUCCACAAAUAAAAUAUUUGUAUCUUUCUUUUAUGAUGUUUAUUUUGGGCACACAUCAGCAUGUCAGGAUCUUAUGCAGCGCUAUGCUGUGGAAUUACCAAAUGGACAUCUAAUAUAGAACCGACACAAUUAUCUCUCAUUGUGGAAUAGAAUUUAGGGAUGCAUUUCAUUUGAUGACAUUAGGUUUCAUUAGGUUGAUCUGGAACAUGAUGAGGCCUACUGUACGCCACCCUAGAUGCAGACUCCACCUCGUGGUUCCAACUUCCUCAAGAUGGCAGUGGAGAUUCUGGAUAUUUGGGCUUUACACAUCAAUCUCAGCUUAUGCCUGCCCAUAACAUAACCACACCGUCACCAUGGGACACUCUGUUCACAACAUUGACAUCAGCAAACCACUCUCCCACAUGACGCCAUACACCUGGUCUGCGGUUUUGAGGCUGGUUGGACAUACUGCCAAAUUCUCUAAAACAACAUUGGAAGCGGCUUAUGGUAGAGAAAUUAAUAUUGAAUUCUUUGUCAUGAGCUCUGGUGGAAACUCCUGCAGUCAGCAUGCCAAUUGCAUGCUCCCUCAACUUGAGACAUCUCUGUGGCAUUGUGUUGUGUGACAGAUUUUAGUGGCCUUUUAUUAAGGUGCACCUGUGUAAUUAUCAUGCCUUUUUAAUCAGCUUCUUAAUAUACCACAUCUGUCAGAUGGAUGGAUUAUUGUGGUAAAUUAGAAAUGUUCACUAACAGGGAUGUAAACAAAUGUGUUCACAAAAUUUGAGAGAAAUAAGCUUUUUGUGCAUAUGGAACAUUUCUGGGAUCUUUUAUUUCAGCUCAUGAAACAUGGGACCAACACUACACAUGUUGCGUUCAUAUUUUUUGUUCAGUGCAGUAGAAUUUAUGACAGAAGUAGAAGAUAUUGAGAAUCACCACAGGCAACACAUUUGUUGUAGUUUAUUAUUCUUGGAAUGGAAAUUGCGCUCUGUUGCUCUCCAAGGCUGUGUAGAGUAGACAUUCCAAAAUCACCUCGGGCUAAAUUAAAGGAAAAAUUGGUUUAGAUUUUUGCAUGUUGACGGGGACUUCAUAGCCUACAAUGUUAGCUGGCCUAUGUUUAUAGUUUUGUCAGAUACUCAGACUCAAUAAUUGAUUGAAAUAAAAAUACACAGUCGAUGGUCUAUAUUGUUGAUUAUUGAUAGGCUAUUUCAGAGAUAUUUUGAGAACAACAAUUGCUGUGAGAAAAAACAAACUGAUGUGCCUUGAUUGUGUAAUCCCCAACCAAAAAUAAGUUAUGCGAGAGUAGCCUAUAAAUGGCACGUGGAAUAUCAAAUAUAAAUUUAUUUAGAUAAGUAAAUGUUGAAGAGGUAAAAUAAAGCUAUUUAAAUGAACGAAUUAACCUUUGUCAAGUGAGAGCUCCAUGGAGAAGCUGUUGCGCACGCUGUUGUUGCGCACGCGAACCCAGGCAAAGAAGGGAGGGCAGAGCGAGCCAUGGUGAGCCAAUAAAAAGGCACCGGAGUCCUGCUAACCGUCGGCUUUGCUCGAGACAGUGUAAAACGGGACCAAUAUUUCUGUCGGACGCGUACUGUCUUCGAGUGUGCAAAGGACACACCAUCUCAUUGACUGCGCCUGUCCCUACAUAGGAAGACGGUAAUGUGUGUUUUUGCUAAACUUUUGUUGUCUUUUUGUGUCCUUUACGUUCUUUGUUUGUUUUAUUUGGCUCAGUACUUUUCUCAUGAAAAAUAGGCUUAUAGACUGAGGACUUUAGCCUAAACCUAAUGUGCAUUCCAGGUUUAUAUUACUAAUGUGUCACUGCAUUGUAUGUGUGCAGAAAAUAUGCUUGACUUCUGAUGCGAGGGUAUAAAAACUGCAACGUGAAUGCAUUAUACAUUUGGUAAUGCGCAUUGUCCACCUUCAACGCGCAGAUGCACACGAGCGUUUUUUUUGGCGGCCGUGCCUCUAAAAGGCACUUUUACAAUGAUUAAACUUACGCGUAAAAUGCUAAUCUCUUGUGAAAAAUCCUCAUGUUGUGAAAGCACAGAGCCCUGUCUGUGGUUUAUAUGGAUUUGAUUGGUCGUUCCCGUGUUUUCCUCGCAUGGAGAGCAGUAACGAUAGCAGUGCCAGUGCAGAUGCAUACAGCUGUUCCGCAGCUCUGGGUGAGACACCCUGUCACUAUCUACCCCACCAGCUGCUCAACAGCUGGGCAAUGACUUGUCUUUUUUUUUUAAACAUACUAAAUGUUGCGCAUAGACUAAUUCAGUCUCUAUUUUACAUGAAAAACUGAUUUUGAAAUGAAAGCUCUUAUCUCAGGAUCUCAAUCCCCCCCCAGACCCAGAGAGUCCAAUGUAACCUACUGUGGGGACCUGUUUUAUACACACACACACACUGGGAACCGAAAUCGUCCCUGGCAUUUCUAACACAUGCCAGGACAUUAUUAGCCAGAUAAUGAUCAUUUUGCGCAAAGAAAACCCAGGUUAGACAGGCUCACUGAGUAAGAAAUGGACCAGACCACAUGCACACAAAUGCAAUAGCCAGAUAAUCCAUACAACCAAUAAGAUUAGCCACCUACAAAUUGUUUUCUGUUGUCAUUUCUCCUACUACAUUUUGUAAGCACAAUCAAUGACACUCUGCUAUUUUUACUCAGUUAAUUGCAAUAUUUGUCAACAACAGUUAGAAAUUACACCAUCACUGUAGAACUAUCAUCACAUUGUGAUAAUAAUUGCCAUAUGUUCUGUUCUGUAAUUAUAACCUGCUCAGACUAUCCCCUAUUUGCAUAAUUAUUUCUACAGUUUGAUUGGCAUGCAGCUUUCCUGCCUGUCUUACAGAGUAGGAGAGAAGCAUUGUUGUGCCUAUGUCCCCAUUGUGCUGUUUAAUACCAUCCUCAAUCAGUCGGGUAUCGGAUGGCACAAUGCCUACUGUGCCAGGGAACAGGACCCGUCUCUCCUGUUGUCACCCAAACUCCCUCUGUGGUAGAAAAGGAGAAUAAUUGUUUACUCAAAAUCAUCCUGUAUGAAUGCUAUUUGGUACAUGCAAAACAGGAAGGAACUUCCCUUUGUAUUUGGAAAGCUUGUGUUUAGUUUUCAAAUAGAUCUCAGAAAUGAUUAGGACAAAUUCACUUUUAGAAUUAGGGGGAUCUUGAUGUUCAUUUUCUAAAGCUGCCUUCAUGUCUAGACUUUGGUCUUGUGUUUUAUAAAUAUCUUAGUCAGAUGAAGACAGAAACUGAGGAGUUGUCAAUGGUUCCAUUUUACUCUCAUCAUUCUGAUGUAGAAAGAUUCAGACCUACCUGGUCUUUAUAGUAUUUCUAAAUGUUGUGUUCAGACUGUUCCAACCUAUUUCAUGGUGACAUUAGAUGUAAGACUCAACCGAAGUGUGAGAGGUAUUUCUGUUUUAGUUUUGUUUUUACAACUUUGCAAAAAUUUCUGAAAAACCUGUGUUUGCUUUGUCAUUAUGAGAUAUUGUGUGUAGAUUGAUGAGUAAAA